AGUGGGAGGGAGGGGAGAAGGGGACUCCAAGCAAUGAAUAAAUCUUAAGAAGUUACACUGGGGUGUGAAUUCUCCUGGAAAGAAGUGCCCUCCUGACAAGAACCGCAAGGUUCACCAAACCAGAAGCUCAGGGGGGUAGAGAUACAGUCAGAAUUAAAGAACAGGAUGCGCAGCCCAGGAAUUUGUGCAUUCAUUGUCUGAUGUUGAAACAGUUGGAGUCUCCCUGCGUUGUGAAGAGGAGAGUGCAGAAAGAAAGAAGCAUUCUUGAUAAACUAAUAAUGCAGAGAGCACAAACCCACCACUCUCUCGCCAUCCUGCUUAGGGCAUCACUGUAACUUCAUGCCUGAUCUGUGGCAAGGGCUCAAGGCAGACCGCAGUAUUGGACACCAGAAGAAGAAAUGUCCUGUAUUCAGGGUGUGAGAAACCCCUGCAUUUCUCUCUAAACCAAACAGUGCCAUCUGGAGUGUCUGAGUCUUUGAGUCCCUGUGGAGAACUCCUGAACAGACAGAUAUCCUGUUGCUGUAGUAGUUGUUUAAAAAAUCUCCAAUCCACUUUUCCAAUUUAAUCCUGUUUUUUACAAUAUCCCAACUAGUUUGCACUGGCUGAUUCUUUUGUAUUGGAAAUUCAGGACCAUUAAGAAGAUGGAACCAGCCUCUAAGUAAAUUUCUGAUUGAUUAGAAUGCAGAGAUGGGACUUUUUUCCAUCAUUGAGUUACACUACACUCUAAGCCUAGCUUCUACAGGCCUCAAAUUCUCAUUAAUAUGUGAGGAAUCCUUUUAGUGGCCUUAGCUUCUUGGAACCAUCUAUAUUGGGUGCUCAGAGUUGCUCUUUUAGGACUUGCACACCUUCUCUGGACCUCUUUUCUGCAAGGGACUCUGUGCAUGCUCUGUAACCCAAGUCUCCACUGAAGUGGUAACAUGUAACCGCAAUGUUAGAUUAAUCUUUUGAUUUUUAAUUUGAAACUUGGUGUGCAUGAUUUGUGGCCUUCCAUUCAUCUUCCUCCCUU
Molecule: long non-coding RNA, 1006 nt
Organism: Rhineura floridana
Lineage: Eukaryota; Metazoa; Chordata; Lepidosauria; Squamata; Rhineuridae
Exons: 4
Source: RefSeq, a predicted model, not a curated record